AUGGUGUUGCUAGACAUUAGGGGUAUGUUGCAGUCCAUGGGUAAAGAUAUUGUUGAUUUCGCUCUUCCGAGCAUAGAUGAUGCGUUUGACCCAACCGAGGGCGAGGCAAGAGAGGUCAUCGAGGAAACAACCGUUGAGUUUGACAUGGAUGACACUAAGUUGGUAUCUUCGCUGAACUUGGAACAAAGGGCCGCAUACGACGAGAUACUAACGGCUGUUGAACGCGGUGAUGGGGGUGUAUUCUUUGUUGAUGGCCCUGGAGGUACAGGGAAGACCUUCCUAUACAUGGCGAUGCUUGCCAAGGUGAGGAGCCAAGGCAAGAUUGGUAUCGCUACCGCGACGUCGGGCGUCGCCGCUUCUAUCAUGCCUGGCGGCAGGACUGCCCACUCGAGGUUCAAGAUCCCAUUGAGUUGCGAUGAUGGAGCCUCGUGCAUCUUCACCAAGCAGAGUGGGACCGCCAAGCUCCUAAGGAUGGCCUCAUUGAUAAUAUGGGAUGAGGCCAGCAUGACGAAGCGACAAGCGGUAGAGGCAUUGGACAACAGCAUGCGCGACAUCAUGGGAAUACGUGACCGGCCCUUUGGAGGAAAGACUAUUGUUUUUGGUGGGGACUUUCGGCAGGUGCUUCCGGUCGUCAGAAGGGGGUCGCGGGGCCAGAUAAUUGAUGCAACCCUCCGAAGUUCUCAUCUGUGA
This 690-nucleotide ribosomal RNA is filed under the name Triticum aestivum (bread wheat). Its description in RNAcentral is "partial small subunit ribosomal RNA". Lineage: Eukaryota; Viridiplantae; Streptophyta; Magnoliopsida; Poales; Poaceae. The record is from RNAcentral.